Molecule: ribosomal RNA, 253 nt
Filed under: uncultured bacterium
Lineage: Bacteria
Description: partial 16S ribosomal RNA
Rfam family: Bacterial small subunit ribosomal RNA
Source: RNAcentral
UACGUAGGGUGCAAGCGUUACUCGGAAUUACUGGGCGUAAAGCGUGCGCAGGCGGUUUUGUAAGACUGUCGUGAAAUCCCCGGGCUUAACCUGGGAAUGGCGAUGGUGACUGCAAGGCUAGAGUUUGGCAGAGGGGGGUAGAAUUCCACGUGUAGCAGUGAAAUGCGUAGAGAUGUGGAGGAACACCGAUGGCGAAGGCAGCCCCCUGGGUCAAAACUGACGCUCAUGCACGAAAGCGUGGGGAGCAAACAGG